UACGUAGGGUCCGAGCGUUGUCCGGAUUUAUUGGGCGUAAAGAGCUCGUAGGCGGUUCCGUAAGUCAGAUGUGAAAACUCAGGGCUCAACCCGGAGACGCCAUCUGAUACUGCGGUGACUGGAGUCUGGUAGGGGAACACGGAAUUCCUGGUGUAGCGGUGAAAUGCGCAGAUAUCAGGAGGAACACCGAUGGCGAAGGCAGUGUUCUGGGCCAGUACUGACGCUGAGGAGCGAAAGCAUGGGGAGCGAACAGG
This 254-nucleotide ribosomal RNA is filed under the name uncultured bacterium. RNAcentral describes it as "partial 16S ribosomal RNA". It matches the Rfam family "Bacterial small subunit ribosomal RNA", at positions 524 to 776 of the family's 1533-position model. The record is from RNAcentral.